Molecule: non-coding RNA, 501 nt
Organism: Pseudonaja textilis
Lineage: Eukaryota; Metazoa; Chordata; Lepidosauria; Squamata; Elapidae
Source: RefSeq, a predicted model, not a curated record
CUUAGUACAACAUUGGAUUCCAGCUAGUUUCUUCCUUGGUCAAAUUAAAGGAAAGACAUGUUUGGGUGCAUUUAUUUAUUAUAUUUAUAUACUCUUGGCCCUGACAUUGCAAAACUAAUUCUAUGGGCUCAGGCCUACUAAAAGUGAAGAUCUACCAAGAAUCCAACAAAAUGAAAAGGGAAAUGAGAAAAAAAUACCAACUUAACACAGCAGUAGACUUUAAUUAUCCAGGUAAUUAUAUUCAGAAUACAGGUAGUCCUUGAUUUACAUCUGUAAUUAAGCUUGGAAUUAUAGUUGUACUUAAUGGUAGUUGCUAAGUGGGUUGAUGGCUCUUUUUGCAGUAGUUAUUAAGUGAGCACCACAUUCAUUAAGUGAACCUGAUUUCUUCAAUGAGCGUUUUUUGCCAGAUGCUGGAAGUAAAAUGUCGGAAACUGUUAAAGCCACCAAAAAUCAUCACACAACUGGACAUUGCAAACAGCCAAAUGUGUGACCCAGUUGCCA